GGGAAGCGACUUUGGAGAAGAGGGAACGACGGCGACCGAGUGCGCACACGAAGUGGCACAGAUUUGCGCCGACAGCUUUCGCGUUGACGAAGACGAGAGUUUAGACAUAGGACAGACAUAUUGGUCCAGCGCGGAGCCGAAGACGUGGCGAAGUGGGACGUUCGAUUAAGGUCUCCGUAAGGGUUGUGUUCUCCUCUCCAUCCUCCUAACUUGGCCAGAGCAUCAGCACCUUGGCUUUAGACUGCUUACUGCUUUUACAUUAUCACAGUACAGUAACAGUCUACAGUCAUGGCUACUGAAGCCUGGCAAUGCACCAAAGCCUCCACAGGAGACAACGUUGACAUGCUGAGGUUAUGUCAUGCUGAUGUCAAACACACCACUGCUCGACUGUUAGCUACUCUUAAAAUGGCUGAGCUGCUGAAUCUCACUAUCUGCUCUAGAGAUUUCUGUGUCUGUGUAAGUUUCUCCUUCUCUGUCUCUCAGAAAGGAAACCUGUGUGGGCUUGCAUUGGGGGGAGUCCUACACCAUGUAAGUGCGUAAUAUCCACGUUCACACCAAUGAGACCUUCCAGUUUCCAGUUACCAUGCCAACUCCUGCUCCUUCUCCACCCUACUGUCUCCAUGGCGACCGUGGCUUUAGAUUGUUACUCUAGCAACAGCAUCAUGGUAACAGUCUACAGCCAUGGUCGUUAGGGACAGGCGUCAUGGGGGAAUAAAAAAGUUUUGUGGAACUACAGUUUAUUUUGCAUUUGACUAAUUUUCUAAUUUAGAAAGUAUUUCAGAAAUUGUUUCCUGAGCAGCAGAGUUAGUUUGACUCCACUUUUUUCAGUCUCUUGAUGGGAUACAAAUGUAAUUGUUUUAAUUAAAUGUUGUAACAUCAUCACCCAAUAAAGCUUAUAAGUCAAGAACACAAAGACA
This is a long non-coding RNA of Betta splendens (Siamese fighting fish), 917 nucleotides long. RefSeq lists it as uncharacterized. The transcript is spliced from 2 exons. Lineage: Eukaryota; Metazoa; Chordata; Actinopteri; Anabantiformes; Osphronemidae. The record is from RefSeq and is a predicted model, not a curated record.